Molecule: ribosomal RNA, 403 nt
Filed under: uncultured bacterium
Lineage: Bacteria
Description: partial 16S ribosomal RNA
Rfam family: Bacterial small subunit ribosomal RNA
Source: RNAcentral
AUUGAACGCUGGCGGCAGGCCUAACACAUGCAAGUCGAGCGAGCGGCGGACGGGUGAGUAAUGUAUGGGGACUGCCUGAUGGAGGGGGAUAACUACUGGAAACGGUGGCUAAUACCGCAUACUAUCGGAUAACCCAUAGGGGAUUAGCUUGUUGGUGAGGUAAUGGCUCACCAAGGCGACGAUCCCUAGCUGGUCUGAGAGGAUGAGCAGCCACACUGGAACUGAGACACGGCCCAGACUCCUACGGAGGCAGCAGUGGGGAAUAUUGCACAAUGGGCGCAAGCCUGAUGCAGCCAUGCCGCGUGUAUGAAGAAGGCCUUCGGGUUGUAAAGUACUUUCAGCCGGGAGGCGUUACCGGCAGAAGAAGCACCGGCUAACUCCGUGCCAGCAGCCGCGGUAAUUC